Molecule: ribosomal RNA, 460 nt
Filed under: uncultured bacterium
Lineage: Bacteria
Description: partial 16S ribosomal RNA
Rfam family: Bacterial small subunit ribosomal RNA
Source: RNAcentral
CCUACGGGGGGCAGCAGUGAGGAAUAUUGGUCAAUGGCCGUAAGGCUGAACCAGCCAAGCCGCGUGAAGGAAGAAGGAUCUAUGGUUUGUAAACUUCUUUUAUAGGGGAAUAAAGGUAUCCACGUGUGGCUAUUUGCAUGUACCCUAUGAAUAAGCAUCGGCUAACUCCGUGCCAGCAGCCGCGGUAAUACGGGGGAUGCGAGCGUUAUCCGGAUUUAUUGGGUUUAAAGGGUGCGUAGGUUGUUUUUUAAGUCAGCGGUGAAAGUUUGUGGCUCAACCAUAAAAUUGCCGUUGAAACUGGAAGACUUGAGUGUGUUUGAGGUAGGCGGAAUGCGUGGUGUAGCGGUGAAAUGCAUAGAUAUCACGCAGAACUCCGAUUGCGAAGGCAGCUUACUAAGCCAUAACUGACACUGAGGCACGAAAGCGUGGGGAUCAAACAGGAUUAGAUACCCUAGUAGUC